This 139-nucleotide ribosomal RNA is filed under the name Candidatus Bathyarchaeota archaeon. Lineage: Archaea; Thermoproteati; Candidatus Bathyarchaeota. The record is from RNAcentral.
GUUGGCGGCCAUAGCUGGGGGCUAGGACCCGUUCCCAUUCCGAAAGCCUCUAGGCCGGAAUCACGGAAGUGAAUCCCCCAGGCGAUCCAAGCGGUAGUGUGGUGCGAAAGCCCACGCGAAACUUGGACCGCCGCCAACU